ACGCGGACCGCGCCAGGCGGAAGCCCGGCUCCGGGCCAGGAUCUGAGAGCCCGGACUGGAGGUGAGUUCGCAGCCGGAGCGUUGCAGGCACUUGUUUCCUCAGUGGAUGCUUUUCGGCGUGCCGCCGCCCGGCGCCGCGGGACUGGGAGACCGGGAAUUGAGAAGAGGAGGAAGAAUAAUGGGAGGAGACAGGACCUUUUUCAACUUGACUAAUAGAUUUCUGAGAGAGCAGACACCAUCUUAUUUCUGUUGAAUUAUAUUUAGUAACUCAAAAGGCAUAUACCAAGCUGUCAGAAGCAGCUUCAUUUAAAAGGUAAUUUCAAAUUUUGAAAGGGUCAUUUACUCUUUAAUUUUAC
Molecule: long non-coding RNA, 356 nt
Filed under: Theropithecus gelada (gelada)
Lineage: Eukaryota; Metazoa; Chordata; Mammalia; Primates; Cercopithecidae
Description: lncRNA (ENSTGEG00000005274.1)
Source: RNAcentral